This 253-nucleotide ribosomal RNA is filed under the name uncultured bacterium. RNAcentral describes it as "partial 16S ribosomal RNA". It matches the Rfam family "Bacterial small subunit ribosomal RNA", at positions 524 to 776 of the family's 1533-position model. The record is from RNAcentral.
UACGUAGGGUGCAAGCGUUGUCCGGAAUUAUUGGGCGUAAAGAGCUCGUAGGCGGUUUGUCGCGUCGAAUGUGAAAACCCGGGGCUCAACCCCGGGCCUGCAUUCGAUACGGGCAGACUAGAGUUCGGUAGGGGAGUCUGGAAUUCCUGGUGCAGCGGUGAAAUGCGCAGAUAUCAGGAGGAACACCGGUGGCGAAGGCGGGACUCUGGGCCGAUACUGACGCUGAGGAGCGAAAGCGUGGGGAGCAAACAGG